Molecule: ribosomal RNA, 301 nt
Filed under: uncultured bacterium
Lineage: Bacteria
Description: partial 16S ribosomal RNA
Rfam family: Bacterial small subunit ribosomal RNA
Source: RNAcentral
CAGUAGCCGCGGUAAUACAGAGGGUGCGAGCGUUAAUCGGAUUUACUGGGCGUAAAGCGUGCGUAGGCGGCUUUUUAAGUCGGAUGUGAAAUCCCUGAGCUUAACUUAGGAAUUGCAUUCGAUACUGGGAAUCUAGAGUAUGGGAGAGGAUGGUAGAAUUCCAGGUGUAGCGGUGAAAUGCGUAGAGAUCUGGAGGAAUACCGAUGGCGAAGGCAGCCAUCUGGCCUAAUACUGACGCUGAGGUACGAAAGCAUGGGGAGCAAACAGGAUUAGAUACCCCUGUAGUCCCUGUCUCUUAUAC